GACAGAGGUGCCAAGCGUUAGGCGGAAUCACUGGGCUUAAAGCGUGUGUAGGCGGGUCGUUAAGUACCUUGUGAAAUCUCCCGGCUCAACCGGGGAACGGCUGGGUAUACUGGCGAUCUUGAGCCACCUAGGGGCAGUCGGAACAAGUGGUGGAGCGGUGAAAUGCGUAGAUAUCAACUUGGAACGCCAAUGGUGAAAACAGACUGCUGGGGGUGUGCUGACGCUGAGAACACGGAAAGCCAGGGGAGCAAACGGG
RNAcentral lists this ribosomal RNA (256 nucleotides) under uncultured bacterium. Its description in RNAcentral is "partial 16S ribosomal RNA". It matches the Rfam family "Bacterial small subunit ribosomal RNA", at positions 524 to 776 of the family's 1533-position model. The record is from RNAcentral.